UGUUGAUAGCAACAGUGAUAUUAUUGCAAUGGAAUUCUUGUUAUGGUGAUCAUUCCUCUACAUCGUCGUGUUCGUCCUCUUCUUCAUCAUCAUCCGGUCACCACUGCAUUAAUUGUCUUAUAUAUUACUCUAAGGAGUAUUGUAAUUCUAUUGGGAAGGAUCAAAUUGAAGCUACGUGUUAUAGAUGUUCGGCUUGUGUAGACCGGAAGCCAUGCAAUUGUUAAUUUUGCUCUACAAGAUGGUAUGGACCAUGUAUAAAUUGUUUUGCAUAUUAUUCCAAAGAGUACUGCGCCACCUUGGGAAAGGACCAAAUUGAACAAACCUGCCACAGAUGCUCAGAAUGUGUUGAUAAGCCCAUUAAAACUGAUUUAUCAAUCCAGGAUGAAAGUAUUGAUUUAAAUAAUAUUCAUAUUGUAUGCUAAACAUUGUAAUAUUUUUAAAUUUGUUAAACUUAGUAUCGAAAAUAAACCUGUUUUAAGUUUUUAAUUUUCA
Molecule: long non-coding RNA, 492 nt
Organism: Dalotia coriaria
Lineage: Eukaryota; Metazoa; Arthropoda; Insecta; Coleoptera; Staphylinidae
Exons: 3
Source: RefSeq, a predicted model, not a curated record